AUGCGGUCCAGGUGGAUCUUGGCCUCGUACUUGUCGAUCUCCCGGUCCAGCUCGCGCAGCCGCUGGAUCUGCUGGCGGAUGGUGUGGUCCUGCGAGAGCACCAGGUGCACCAGCGUCUCCAUCCUCUCCGCCGCCGAGGCUUCCCGGGCCAACGGCUGCUGCCGCUUCUUGUUGAUCUUGGCCAGCUUGCGGAAGGCUUUCCGCACUGCCCGCCGCUGCCGCUCCUGCGUGAGCGCCAGGCUGCCGCGGGCCGCCCCCAAGCCGUGGCCGGGGCGCUCCUUGCUGAGCACCACCCGCGCCUCGGCGCUGCGCGGCCCCGCGUUGGGCAGCGAGGCCUCGCUGCGCACCAGCACGAAGCGCACGUUCUCCUGCUCGUCCCCCCACGCCACCCAGAGCCGCAGGAUCUUCGUCUUGUUGGGCAGGAUCCGCUCGAAGCCGCGCCACUUCUCCACGAUGCAGUACGAGUGCGGCGGCCCCGACAGCAUUCCGCCGCCGGGCUCGGGCGGCGCCGGUCGCUGCCGCCGGUGGUGGCUGUCCUCCAGCAGCACCCGCACCACGUCCGAGCAGGUGGUCCGCCGGGAGAGCCCGGAGAUCAGCUUCUCCUCCUGGCAGAUCCACACCGAGAUCUUCCGCUCCUCGGGCUCCAUCGGGAGCGGCCGCGAGCGGCCGGCCGGGGCCGCGGGCUCAGCGGGGCCGGCCGGGCUGCCGCUCGACGCGGUCGCUCCGGGGAGCUGCGGCGCCGGCCGGCCUCGGCAUGGCCACCUCUCUCGCCGCCCGCCCGGCUCCGCCGCUGCCCUCCCGCCUCCCCGCCGAGCGCUCUGCCGCCCGCUCCACCCCUUCCUGCCCCGCGCCGCCGGGAGGGGCCGGCGCGGAGCGAAGCGGAGUCCGGCGCGGAGCCCGCCCGGCCGCCGCCGCCCGCGCUCUGGCGGGGCCCAGCGCCGCCGCCGCCGGGUUUUCCUCUGCCCCCGCGUGGGCGCCCCCCGCGGCUCCCGCCCCGGCGGCGGCCGCCGGCCCGCGGGCAGCACCGCCCCGUCGCUCCGCGCCGCGAUCCGCCGGCUGCUGGGAGCUGGGAGGCGCGGCGCCGCCGCACGCUCCGCUCCGCUCCGCUCCCCCCUGCCCUGCCUCUUGCAAACGAGCGGCGUCGAGGGAUCUUCCGAAGUGCCGAGGGACAGAGCGAGUCCCGCGGCUUCAAAGCUACAGGCAGAACCGGCGAGGAAUUUCCAGUUUUAG
RNAcentral lists this long non-coding RNA (1230 nucleotides) under Cairina moschata (Muscovy duck). RNAcentral describes it as "domestica (muscovy Duck (domestic type)) lncRNA (ENSCMMG00000009239.1)". The record is from RNAcentral. Lineage: Eukaryota; Metazoa; Chordata; Aves; Anseriformes; Anatidae.